Molecule: ribosomal RNA, 1264 nt
Filed under: Salmonella enterica subsp. diarizonae
Lineage: Bacteria; Pseudomonadati; Pseudomonadota; Gammaproteobacteria; Enterobacterales; Enterobacteriaceae
Description: partial 23S ribosomal RNA
Rfam family: Bacterial large subunit ribosomal RNA
Source: RNAcentral
CGGGUGAAGGAACUAGGCAAAAUGGUGCCGUAACUUCGGGAGAAGGCACGCUGACACGUAGGUGAAGUGAUUUACUCAUGGAGCUGAAGUCAGUCGAAGAUACCAGCUGGCUGCAACUGUUUAUUAAAAACACAGCACUGUGCAAACACGAAAGUGGACGUAUACGGUGUGACGCCUGCCCGGUGCCGGAAGGUUAAUUGAUGGGGUCAGCGCAAGCGAAGCUCCUGAUCGAAGCCCCGGUAAACGGCGGCCGUAACUAUAACGGUCCUAAGGUAGCGAAAUUCCUUGUCGGGUAAGUUCCGACCUGCACGAAUGGCGUAAUGAUGGCCAGGCUGUCUCCACCCGAGACUCAGUGAAAUUGAACUCGCUGUGAAGAUGCAGUGUACCCGCGGCAAGACGGAAAGACCCCGUGAACCUUUACUAUAGCUUGACACUGAACAUUGAGCCUUGAUGUGUAGGAUAGGUGGGAGGCUUUGAAGCGUGGACGCCAGUCUGCGUGGAGCCGACCUUGAAAUACCACCCUUUAAUGUUUGAUGUUCUAACGUGGACCCGUAAUCCGGGUUGCGGACAGUGUCUGGUGGGUAGUUUGACUGGGGCGGUCUCCUCCUAAAGAGUAACGGAGGAGCACGAAGGUUGGCUAAUCCUGGUCGGACAUCAGGAGGUUAGUGCAAUGGCAUAAGCCAGCUUGACUGCGAGCGUGACGGCGCGAGCAGGUGCGAAAGCAGGUCAUAGUGAUCCGGUGGUUCUGAAUGGAAGGGCCAUCGCUCAACGGAUAAAAGGUACUCCGGGGAUAACAGGCUGAUACCGCCCAAGAGUUCAUAUCGACGGCGGUGUUUGGCACCUCGAUGUCGGCUCAUCACAUCCUGGGGCUGAAGUAGGUCCCAAGGGUAUGGCUGUUCGCCAUUUAAAGUGGUACGCGAGCUGGGUUUAGAACGUCGUGAGACAGUUCGGUCCCUAUCUGCCGUGGGCGCUGGAAGACUGAGGGGGGCUGCUCCUAGUACGAGAGGACCGGAGUGGACGCAUCACUGGUGUUCGGGUUGUCAUGCCAAUGGCACUGCCCGGUAGCUAAAUGCGGAAAAGAUAAGUGCUGAAAGCAUCUAAGCACGAAACUUGCCCCGAGAUGAGUCUUCCCUGAGACUUUGAGUCUCCUGAAGGAACGUUAAAGACGAUGACGUUGAUAGGCCGGGUGUGUAAGCGCAGCGAUGCGUUGAGCUAACCGGUACUAAUGAACCGUGAGGCUUAACCUUACAACGCCGAAGCUGUU